AUUUAAAUAAUAAUAUAUCAAUGGAAGCCCAUUUAAAAAUAAAUAAAUAAAUAAAUAAAUAAAUAAAUAAAUAAAUAAAUAAAUAAAUAAAUAAAUGUUAUUGCUACUUUCUGUUUUACAAUUGUAACUUUGUUUCACAUAUUUUUUUCUUGGAAUUCUGAGUUUAAGCAACGGGUUCAAGACCAGCAGGUUAAAGGUGCUGCUGUGGGGCCGUGUUUUAUUUUGUUUUUUGGGUGCGGUUUGGUCUCUGGCAUCACAUCAACCUCAUCUCUCUUUUAACAUUUUUUUACAGUUUCAACAAAUGCUGAGAGACUUCAAACCCUGACUGACUCUAUGGUAACCGAAAGUGUUUUGUUUGUUCUCGCAGGGCUCAAGUUUACAGGAAAAUGCCAUAAAAAGCGAGAGAUUGUGAUUAAUAGUUCCAUGUUAUUAUUGGAGGUAAACAGUGGAGCUUGGGAAUUGAAGCUGUACUGUAAAUAAAGGAGGGGGAAGUAGAAAUGUUGUGAACAGGAAACAGUUGAUGUGGGAAUGUUAAGUGAUUCCUCCCGCUGCGUCUCACUGUUUCUCUCUCUGUCUAUUGUUGUGUAUCUAAACUGUCUUUAUAUCAUUGAUCCUGAUGAUGAUGUAAGUGCAGGCGGCUGAGGUGCAGACAGGAGAUCUAUCCUGAGCAAAUCAUCUACAGUCUGUGGAGCUUCUUCAUCUACCGCAGACCUGCUGUGAAGUGCAUCAUGGGAAAUCUUCUGCUUCAUAAUAAGCCGAAGACGAGCGGAAUUUGGACGGCAGCCAGAGGGAGGACGGCCAUGUUGUCACCAGACGCUUCAUCCACGACACACUUCUGCUCUCGCUGCUUUAUUCUCUCGCUCUUUCUGGAAGCACUUUGACAUGAAGCUGGCUAGAAAUUAAGAGCAGAGAAAGAGACGAUGGUGACCCCGCUCCUUUUUUUCAUAAAAAAAAAAAAAAAAUCAAAUUUUUGUAUGAAACUGAAUAUCAGUUCGAAUUAGUUCUGAUCCGGGGUAAAAUAUAACAUUUCCUUCUUUUUUUCUAAAAAAAAAAAAAAAAAAAAAAAAAAAAACAGCAUGAAUACACACACACACAUAAAGAUGUGAAUGAUUCUGCUCUGAUGUAAAUUAACACACAUGAUUCAUUUUCCAUCAAGAAUAUCAGCAUGCAGUUUGACUGCCUAAUCUGGCCAAGUCCCGCCCACUUACACAGGAAGAGACCGGCUGAUUGACAUGUCAAGCAACCAAUCAGUUUAAUGUUUUAUGUGAUGUAUAGAGGUUUUUGAAACAGUUGAUGCCAUAAUAUUUGUAAUAUAUAUAUAUAUAUAUAUAUAUAUAUAUAUAUAUAUAUAUAUAUAUAUAUAUAUAUAUAUAUAUAUAAAAAUGUUGUGUCAGUUUUUGCAAAUGAUCUUGCAGACUGUUGAGAAAUAUGGAAAUAUGUGGUUUCCG
Long non-coding RNA from Cyprinus carpio carpio, 1448 nucleotides. Lineage: Eukaryota; Metazoa; Chordata; Actinopteri; Cypriniformes; Cyprinidae. The record is from Ensembl.